This 351-nucleotide long non-coding RNA is filed under the name Mytilus galloprovincialis (Mediterranean mussel). The record is from RNAcentral. Lineage: Eukaryota; Metazoa; Mollusca; Bivalvia; Mytilida; Mytilidae.
GUCCAAAUGAAUAUCCUAAUCCUGAAGAUGUAACGAGCAAUUUGGUAAAAUAAAUUUGUCGUAAUCUUUAACGGUUGCGAAGGAGUAGUGGCCACAAGAAAAACAGUGUUUGGGGAGAUAACUCUUACAACGUAAAGUAUUUUGUUACGCAGUUGUAAAUUUUUAAAGCGUAUAAACUAUACGAUACCAUAUUCCAAAUAUCUAAGCGACAUCUUUUGAAACAUCAAUAAUACGCAAGAAAAAAAAUUAGGCGGAAGAAAAAAAAAAAAAAAUAAUAAUAAUAAUAAUAAUAAUCAGAACAAAUUCAAUAGGUCUUUCCACGGAAAGGUGGAAAGACCUAAUUAAAAACCA